AUUGAACGCUGGCGGCAUGCUUUACACAUGCAAGUCGAACGGUAACAGGCCUUCGGGUGCUGACGAGUGGCGAACGGGUGAGUAAUGCAUCGGAACGUGCCCAGAGGUGGGGGAUAACGCAGCGAAAGCUGUGCUAAUACCGCAUGUGAUCUGAGGAUGAAAGCGGGGGACCGGGCAGCAAUGUUUGGCCUCGCGCCUUUGGAGCGGCCGAUGUCAGAUUAGGUAGUUGGUGGGGUAAAGGCCUACCAAGCCGACGAUCUGUAGCUGGUCUGAGAGGACGACCAGCCACACUGGGACUGAGACACGGCCCAGACUCCUACGGGAGGCAGCAGUGGGGAAUUUUGGACAAUGGGCGCAAGCCUGAUCCAGCAAUGCCGCGUGCGGGAAGAAGGCCUUCGGGUUGUAAACCGCUUUUGUACGGAACGAAAAGGCUCUGGCUAAUACCUGGGGCUGAUGACGGUACCGUAAGAAUAAGCACCGGCUAACUACGUG
Molecule: ribosomal RNA, 492 nt
Filed under: uncultured bacterium
Lineage: Bacteria
Description: partial 16S ribosomal RNA
Rfam family: Bacterial small subunit ribosomal RNA
Source: RNAcentral